GACGAACGCUGGCGGCGUGCCUAACACAUGCAAGUCGAACGGAGUUAACCGCUGAAAUGAAGGUAGCUUGCUACUGAAUUUUCUUGGUUAACUUAGUGGCGGACGGGUGAGUAACGCGUGAGCAACCUGCCUUACAGAGGGGGACAACAUUGGGAAACCGAUGCUAAUACCGCAUAACAUAUACUUGUGGCAUCGCAGGUAUAUCAAAGGAGCAAUCCGCUGUAAGAUGGGCUCGCGUCCGAUUAGAUAGUUGGUGAGGUAACGGCUCACCAAGUCGACGAUCGGUAGCCGGACUGAGAGGUUGAACGGCCACAUUGGGACUGAGACACGGCCCAGACUCCUACGGGAGGCAGCAGUGGGGGAUAUUGCACAAUGGGGGAAACCCUGAUGCAGCAACGCCGCGUGAGGGAAGAAGGUUUUCGGAUUGUAAACCUCUGUUAUUAGUGACGAAACAAAUGACGGUAGCUAAUGAGGAAGCCACGGCUAACUACGUGCCAG
RNAcentral lists this ribosomal RNA (498 nucleotides) under uncultured bacterium. RNAcentral describes it as "bacterial SSU rRNA". It matches the Rfam family "Bacterial small subunit ribosomal RNA", at positions 28 to 511 of the family's 1533-position model. The record is from RNAcentral.